GACAGAGGGUGCAAACGUUGCUCGGAAUUACUGGGCGUAAAGCGCGUGUAGGCCGACCGGAAAGUUGGGCGUGAAAGCCCUGGGCUCAACCCAGGAACUGCACUCAAAACUACCGGUCUCGAGUGAUGGAGAGGGAAGUGGAAUUCUCGGUGUAGAGGUGAAAUUCGUAGAUAUCGAGAGGAACACCAGUGGCGAAGGCGGCUUCCUGGACAUCAACUGACGCUGAGACGCGAAAGCGUGGGUAGCAAACAGGAUUAGAAACCCCCGUAGUCC
Molecule: ribosomal RNA, 273 nt
Filed under: uncultured bacterium
Lineage: Bacteria
Description: partial 16S ribosomal RNA
Rfam family: Bacterial small subunit ribosomal RNA
Source: RNAcentral